UAGGAUGUGCAUGUGUUUUCUGUUUCCCGUUCUAUUUGUUUUGGUUUGCGUAAGACCUCCUCUCCUGAUCUUGCAGAAUACAUGCUUGGCAGAAUACGUUUGGCAAUAAAGAAUUUUUGUUAUGAGAUUAGCACAACUGCUUUAAUAUGUACUUGAUUCCAAAAGUUCUUAGUGAGAAAGCAGUAUAAACAGUGGAAGUAAUUGCAAUGAGUCAGAUUAACCAGGACAAGCUGGUUAGGGAUUACAAGAGAAUAACAGUUAGAAGAGUUAAGAAAUUCGAAACAUUAAAAUUUUUAAAAGAGUGUAGACUAAACAAAGUAUACCCGUCCUCUAUACAUAAGAUUCAGUUACCAAUAAACUCGAAGAAGAUUCUUCAGAAUGUUAAGAAAACCUGUUUGACGGCAGCAAUAAAAGAUGCAAAGAAGGCAUUUUAUAA
This 436-nucleotide long non-coding RNA is filed under the name Androctonus crassicauda. The record is from RNAcentral. Lineage: Eukaryota; Metazoa; Arthropoda; Arachnida; Scorpiones; Buthidae.